This 440-nucleotide ribosomal RNA is filed under the name uncultured bacterium. RNAcentral's name for it is "partial 16S ribosomal RNA". It matches the Rfam family "Bacterial small subunit ribosomal RNA", at positions 338 to 795 of the family's 1533-position model. The record is from RNAcentral.
CCUACGGGAGGCAGCAGUGGGGAAUAUUGCACAAUGGGGGAAACCCUGAUGCAGCGACGCCGCGUGAGUGAAGAAGGAUUUCGGUAUGUAAAGCUCUGUCAGCAGGGAAGAAAAUGAAGGUACCUGACCAAGAAUCCCCGGCUAACUACGUGCCAGCAGCCGCGGUAAUACGUAGGGGGCAAGCGUUAUCCGGAUUUACUGGGUGGAAAGGGAGUGUAGACGGCAGGGCAAGUAUGGAGUGAAAGGCGGGGGCUCAACCCCCGGACUGCUCUGGAAACUGCCAGGCUGGAGUGCAGGAGAGGAAAGUGGAAUUCCUAGUGUAGCGGUGAAAUGCGUAGAUAUUAGGAGGAACACCAGUGGCGAAGGCGGCUUACUGGAGUGUAACUGACGUUGAGGCGCGAAAGCGUGGGGAGCAAACAGGAUUAGAUACCCUGGUAGUC